AGGGAAUCUUCCACAAUGGACGCAAGUCUGAUGGAGCAACGCCGCGUGAGUGAAGAAGGUCUUCGGAUCGUAAAGCUCUGUUGUUGGUGAAGAAGGAUAGAGGCAGUAACUGGUCUUUAUUUGACGGUAAUCAACCAGAAAGUCACGGCUAACUACGUGCCAGCAGCCGCGGUAAUACGUAGGUGGCAAGCGUUGUCCGGAUUUAUUGGGCGUAAAGCGAGCGCAGGCGGAAUGAUAAGUCUGAUGUGAAAGCCCACGGCUCAACCGUGGAACUGCAUCGGAAACUGUCAUUCUUGAGUGCAGAAGAGGAGAGUGGAACUCCAUGUGUAGCGGUGGAAUGCGUAGAUAUAUGGAAGAACACCAGUGGCGAAGGCGGCUCUCUGGUCUGCAACUGACGCUGAGGCUCGAAAGCAUGGGUAGCGAACAGGAUUAGAUACCCUGGUAGUCCAUGCCGUAAACGAUGAGCGCUAGGUGUUGGGGACUUUCCGGUCCUCAGUGCCGCAGCAAACGCAUUA
RNAcentral lists this ribosomal RNA (515 nucleotides) under uncultured bacterium. Its description in RNAcentral is "partial 16S ribosomal RNA". It matches the Rfam family "Bacterial small subunit ribosomal RNA", at positions 356 to 862 of the family's 1533-position model. The record is from RNAcentral.